UCUAGAACUCUCUCUGAGUCCCCAUUCCCCAGAAUAUGUUUGAACAAUACAUUUCUUGAAAGUUUCAUAAGGCGAAGAGGACUUUUGGGGCCCCCAUCUCAUGGAAAACAAUUUUUUUGCAGCUCUCAACUGUACUCCAACCCUAGCCAGCUCUCUCCUAAGUGGAAGUAAAAGUAACCCGAUGAGAGAGCGUGGAUGAUUUUCUCCAACUUUUAAUCACUGAAAGUUAAAAACCAGCUCCAAAAGAUCCUCAUUGCUGGGCCAGAGUGAAGAAGUAUCGUGUUUGAAAAAAGUCAGCGGCAGUAAUGACACAGGCUGUCAGUUAGUGACUCUUUUCUAUCUGCCAGGCCCUGGGCUAAGCAGUCAACGUACACGGUCAUAUUUCGCUCUUUUUUUUGUCCUCAUCCACAGCAUGUGGACGUACCCAGGCCAGGGAUUGAACCCUAGCCACUGCAGUGACAAUGCCAGAUUCUUAACCCCUAACCACUAGGCCACCAGGGAACUCCCACAUUUCACUUUUUUUUUUUUUUUUUUCUUUCUAUGGCUGCACCUGAGGUAUAUGAAAGUUCCCAGGUAAGGGUUGAAUUGGAGCUGCAGCCUACACCACAACUACCUCAAGGCCUCGCCACAGCUUGCAGCAAUGCUAGAUCCUUAGGCCACUGAGCAAGGCCAGGGAUAGAACCCACAUCCUCAUGGAUACUAGUGAGUCUCUUAACCCACUGAGCCACAAUGGGAACUCCCCACAUUUCACUUUUAACAGCUCCCUUGGGGGAGCCAAGGAUCAGGGAGAUCAGAGUGUCUUGCAGAGGCCACAUGAUGCUGCAAACUGGGAUUUGAAUUUGGGUGCCUAAUCCCAGAGCCUCUCAAGUACAACUCCACAGCCAUGCUGUGUACCAGUUGUAAGCAUGCAUGUUUCUUAGACACUGGAGUCAUUGUCUGGACGUAUAAUUCACAGGCUAAAGGAAGUGUGUGGACAAGCAACCUUAAGUUAGAAGGGCUGUGGAAAGCGACACGUGAAGGCUGGAUCCAGGCCCCUGGAAUAUUGUGAGAGCCUUUCAUCCAAUACGGAGGGCCUUGAUCGCUUUUCAGCAAAUAUGUAGGCCAUUGUUACUGGUGUGCAUACUUGCCGUAUUGGGACAAAUUUCCCAGUGACAACUCAGAGUGAACCACAGUGAACUAAAACCUAUAUCCUCUGAUCAGUCCUACCUGGUGAUGCAGUCACACAGGAAAACCCAUGGUUUGAACCUCUGUGGAGCCAGUUUCCCAAUAGACUCUUUGGAGUAUACAAUAAGAGCUGUUAUUUACUGAGAGCCCCUAUCCCUCCGACACUGUGCCAACUCAUUUUGUUUUUAGGAAACCUUGAGGGGAGGGGAGGGGAGUACUGCCACUCAGAUUUCAGUUCCUGGCGUGGAACUUCCACAUGCUGCAGGUGCAGCCAAAAAAAACCAUAUAUAUAUGAUGAGGCUAUAUCCCUCUUGAUUUAUUAUAUUUUCUGCUUACUUUUCAACUGUUUUACAGUUUUCUCAAGGCUAAUGGGUAUGGUUAAGAGGGAAAAUAUCAAUUAAAAAACUCUCCUUAUGAUGUGCUAUUUAUAUUUACAAAGAAUUUUUGUAAAGAAAAAUCUUGACUAUUGGAGUAAUUUUGCAUCUGCGCCGUUUUUUGAAAAACAUGAAUUAAAGGUGUUGUC
RNAcentral lists this long non-coding RNA (1687 nucleotides) under Sus scrofa (pig). RNAcentral describes it as "lncRNA (ENSSSCG00005021657.1)". Lineage: Eukaryota; Metazoa; Chordata; Mammalia; Artiodactyla; Suidae. The record is from RNAcentral.